CCGGCGACCGGCGCACGGGUGAGUAACACGUAUGCAACCUGCCCUCUUCAGGGGGACAACCUUCCGAAAGGGAGGCUAAUCCCGCGUAUAUCGGUUUCGGGCAUCCGAGAUCGAGGAAAGAUUCAUCGGAAGCGGAUGGGCAUGCGGCGCAUUAGCUAGACGGCGGGGUAACGGCCCACCGUGGCGACGAUGCGUAGGGGUUCUGAGAGGAAGGUCCCCCACACUGGUACUGAGACACGGACCAGACUCCUACGGAAGGCAGCAG
This 265-nucleotide ribosomal RNA is filed under the name uncultured bacterium. Its description in RNAcentral is "partial 16S ribosomal RNA". It matches the Rfam family "Bacterial small subunit ribosomal RNA", at positions 88 to 354 of the family's 1533-position model. The record is from RNAcentral.